CCCUUAGAUGCUCUGGGCCGCACGCGCGCUACACUGGUCGAUGCAACGAGUUUCUUUCCUUGGCCGACAGGCCUGGGCAAUCUUUGAACAUCGAUCGUGAUCGGGAUAGAUUCUUGUAAUUUUUGAUCUUAAACGAGGAAUUCCUAGUAAACGCAAGUCAUCAGCUUGCAUUGAUUACGUCCCUGCCCUUUGUACGCACCGCCCGUCGCACCUACCGAUUGAAUGGUCCGGUGAAAUCUCCGGACUGGCGUGAGUCGGAGCAAUCUGACAAACACCGGAAAGUUGAUUAAACCUUACCAUUUAGAGGAAGGUGAAGUCGUAACA
This 324-nucleotide ribosomal RNA is filed under the name uncultured eukaryote. Its description in RNAcentral is "partial 18S ribosomal RNA". It matches the Rfam family "Eukaryotic small subunit ribosomal RNA", at positions 1470 to 1796 of the family's 1831-position model. The record is from RNAcentral.